Molecule: long non-coding RNA, 851 nt
Filed under: Capra hircus (goat)
Lineage: Eukaryota; Metazoa; Chordata; Mammalia; Artiodactyla; Bovidae
Description: lncRNA (ENSCHIG00010007867.1)
Source: RNAcentral
AUGCCAGAUUCUAAUUGUCCCCUACUCAAGGAGAUCUCAGAAGCAGGGCUGGGAGAGGGGAAAAAAAAAAGAGGAAGAACACAGGCCUACGAUGCAACUAAGGACUUUAAUUGGAGGUGGCUCCUAGUGGUUUUUCCAGGAGCUGAGGUGAUUCUUGCUGGUGGCACAGGGAUGGCUCAGACAUCGCCUCCUCCUCCAGGAGUUUCUGAAUCAGUCUUCAUGGUCCCUGUUUGCCACCCUCUUCCUCCUGGAGACACUCUAGUGACCAUGCAGCCUCACACGCACGCGAGGGGCUGCCAUCUAUACAAAUCAGGGUCUCCCAGGAACACACUUCUUCAACACAAAAUUGUUGAAGUGACGUUGAUGAUGACGUUGGUAUGUCGUUGACAUAUUAUUUCUUUGAGGGUCUGCAUUCAGAUCUGAAAGAGUGAAGGAAAAUAUUUAUCCCGGGUAAAGGCUUUGAGUUACGUGUGAAUAAAUGGUCUUGGUCAUAUCCUCCUUGGGAUAUUUGCAUAUUAUUAGUGAUUUUAAAAAAAUAUUCUGCUUUCUUGAGCUACAGAUAACCUCAAACUGGGUUAAGGAAUUGAGAUCUUAAAAUUUCUUUGCCACUUCAGCACAGCCUGUCUGGCCCUGACUGUGACAUAUACCCAAUUACCAUCUAUUGAGUGCCUGGGUGGGGCCGUAGUCUAGACAUUUAUAUAUGUUGCUUCAUUUCAUCUUCCUAACAGCCUGAAAAGCAGGUGGUGUAUUGUCAUGAUCCUCAUUUUGCAGAGAAGAUGCUGAAGCUGAGAGAGAUUCAGAGACAUGCACAGUAAAUAGCUGAGAGUGAGCUCGGACUGGUGUGUAGGACU